CUAGUAAUGGCAGGUCAGCAUACUGCCGUGAAUACGUUCCCGGGCCUUGUACACACCGCCCGUCACACCAUGAGAGUUGGGGAUACCCGAAGCCUGUGAGCUAACUAUUUAUAGGAGCAGCAGUCGGAGGUAGAAUCAAUGAUUGGGGUGAAGUCGUAACAAGGUAAC
RNAcentral lists this ribosomal RNA (168 nucleotides) under uncultured bacterium. RNAcentral's name for it is "partial 16S ribosomal RNA". It matches the Rfam family "Bacterial small subunit ribosomal RNA", at positions 1335 to 1500 of the family's 1533-position model. The record is from RNAcentral.